CUUCACCGAGCCGAGCCACAACGGCCGUUCGUCCGGCCGGUCCUGGCCAUACGUGGCGAGCAGCGCCCGCGCCUC
Molecule: antisense RNA, 75 nt
Filed under: Actinobacteria bacterium OK074
Lineage: Bacteria; Bacillati; Actinomycetota; Actinomycetes
Description: ASpks TB sRNA
Rfam family: ASpks TB sRNA
Source: Rfam by way of RNAcentral